Xylariaceae sp. FL0804 is the source of this 84-nucleotide non-coding RNA. The record is from the annotation of a GenBank genome assembly. Lineage: Eukaryota; Fungi; Ascomycota; Sordariomycetes; Xylariales; Xylariaceae.
GCCUCUAUGGCGUAGUGGUAGCGCGUCGCACUUGUACUUUACAAGGACAUGCGAAGGUCACUCGUUCGAUCCGGGUUGGAGGCA